CGCGUAGGCGGUUCUGUCGGUCAGAUGUGAAAUCCCGGGGCUCAACCCUGGAAGUGCAUUUGAAACAGCAGAACUUGAGUACGGGAGAGGAAAGCGGAAUUCCUGGUGUAGAGGUGAAAUUCGUAGAUAUCAGGAGGAACACCGAUGGCGAAGGCAGCUUUCUGGACCGAUACUAACGCUGAGGCGCGAAGGCGUGGGUAGCGAACG
This 207-nucleotide ribosomal RNA is filed under the name uncultured bacterium. Its description in RNAcentral is "partial 16S ribosomal RNA". It matches the Rfam family "Bacterial small subunit ribosomal RNA", at positions 568 to 774 of the family's 1533-position model. The record is from RNAcentral.